This 437-nucleotide ribosomal RNA is filed under the name uncultured bacterium. Its description in RNAcentral is "partial 16S ribosomal RNA". It matches the Rfam family "Bacterial small subunit ribosomal RNA", at positions 29 to 507 of the family's 1533-position model. The record is from RNAcentral.
AGCGAACGCUGGCGGCAGGCUUAACACAUGCAGGUCGAGCGGGCAUCCUUGUGGUGUCAGCGGCAGACGGGUGAGUAACGCGUGGGAACGUGCCCUUCGGUUCGGAAUAACUCCGGGAAACUUGAGCUAAUACCGGAUACGUGCGAGAGCAGAAAGGUUUAUCUGCCGAAGGAUCGGCCCGCGUCUGAUUAGCUAGUUGGUGAGGUUACGGCUCACCAAGGCGACGAUCAGUAGCUGGUCUGAGAGGAUGAUCAGCCACACUGGGACUGAGACACGGCCCAGACUCCUACGGGAGGCAGCAGUGGGGAAUAUUGGACAAUGGGGGCAACCCUGAUCCAGCCAUGCCGCGUGAGUGAUGACGGCCUUAGGGUUGUAAAGCUCUUUUCUCCGGGACGAUAAUGACGGUACCGGAGGAAUAAGCCCCGGCUAACUUCGUG